GAUGAACGCUGGCGGCGUGCCUAAUACAUGCAAGUCGAGCGAACAGACGAGGAGCUUGCCCCUCUGACGUUACCGGCGGACGGGUGAUUAACACGAGGAUAACCUACCUAUAAGACUGGGAUAACUUCGGGAAACCUGAUCUAAUACCGGAUAAUAUAUUGAACCGCAUGGUUCAUUAGUGAAAGACGGUUUUGCUGUCACUUAUAGAUGGAUCCGCGCCGCAUUAGCUAGUUGGUAAGGUAACGGCUUACCAAGGCUACGAUGCGUAGCCGAUCUGAGAGGGUGAUCAGCCACACUGGAACUGAGACACGGUCCAGACUCCUACGGGAGGCAGCAGUGGGGAAUAUUCCGCAAUGGGCGAAAGCCUGACGGAGCAACGCCGCGUGAGUGAUGAAGGUCUUCGGAUCGUAAAACUCUGUUAGUAGGGAGGAACAAAUGUGUAAGAAACUAUGCACGUCUUGACGGUACCUAAACAGAAAGCAACGGCUAACUACGUG
This 497-nucleotide ribosomal RNA is filed under the name uncultured bacterium. RNAcentral's name for it is "partial 16S ribosomal RNA". It matches the Rfam family "Bacterial small subunit ribosomal RNA", at positions 28 to 507 of the family's 1533-position model. The record is from RNAcentral.